This 253-nucleotide ribosomal RNA is filed under the name uncultured bacterium. Its description in RNAcentral is "partial 16S ribosomal RNA". It matches the Rfam family "Bacterial small subunit ribosomal RNA", at positions 524 to 776 of the family's 1533-position model. The record is from RNAcentral.
UACGGAGGGUGCAAGCGUUAAUCGGAAUUACUGGGCGUAAAGCGUGCGCAGGCGGUUUGUUAAGUCUGCUGUGAAAUCCCCGAGCUCAACUUGGGAAUUGCAGUGGAUACUGGCAGGCUGGAGUAUGGUAGAGGAAGGUGGAAUUCCCGGUGUAGCAGUGAAAUGCGUAGAGAUCGGGAGGAACACCAGUGGCGAAGGCGAGUCUCUGGACAUUUCCUGACGCUGAGGCACGAAAGCCAGGGGAGCAAACGGG